GUGCUAGGUGUGUCUGAGCUCAAGUUCUCUUUGGGUGGGUCUUGCUGCAGCUGAGUAUUUGGGGUGUGUCCCAGGUUCUGCAGGAGCAGUCCCCUUCCUUCAUAGGGUCUGUGGGUCCUCUCAGGACUGCUGAUUUGUUCUUGCAGUCCAUCUGGAGCUAAAGUGAACAAUGUGAGCCUUCCAACGCUGCUCAGUUGGUCCAAGUCGGAGCUGCAAUCUAGUUCUGUUUCCCAUCCACCUCAUGUGAGAAUCUGCUUUCCCCCAUGUUUCUCUCCAGCCUCUUCCAGGCUUCCUACCCCACCACCCCCACAUCGCUGCUCAGCCUCUCUCCUUCCUAGUGGGAGCUGAGGAUCCUCAGACUCCAUCCAGCACUUCUUUGCUUCAGCAAUGGGUUCAUGUCAGCGGCAGCUGUGGUCCCAAAUUUUAUUUGGAUUUCAUUAGUUUUCCUUAAUGUCUUGUUCCUGUUCCAGAAUUUCAUCCAGCAUACCACAUUACAUUUAGUUGACAAAUCUCUUUAGAUUACUUUGUACUGUGACAGUUUCUCAGACUUUUUUCUGCUCUUUUAGCACUCUGAAAAUAAGGUCAUGAGGCCUAAAGGAUUAGAUUUAUGUGAGAAUAUCCUGUAUACCUUUGCUAGGACCUGGGGAACUGAGAUUCAUGAGCUUGCCCAGAACCAUACAACUUGAAGCAGAAUUCAGGUCUCCUGAAAUUUAGGUCAUAAUAUUUCCUGUGGUAGUAUAACAUUAGUCUGAGUUGCUCAUAAGCUGCCCAGAGAAAACAACAGAGUUUGGGACAACAAUGUCUUAAUAAAAUAAUCUAGAUGGAGGCUAGCAGUGAAGUUAGCCUCUGUAAUGGCCUGCACUCUGAUUACCAACACACAAAACCUUGGAUUUGACAUAAACCAAGAACCAUGUAAUCACAUGUCCACCAGUGAGGUCAAGCAGACAACUGAGCUGCAUAGGAUAGCACAGAGAAAUAAGAACCAGGAUGAAAUGGAGAGUCGUGUCCACCCAAAAUCUUUAAACUUCCAAUCUGUAACAGAUUUCAGAGUAAACGAAUCAAAUUGUUGAACUGAAUUCCCUUAUAGGCUGCUGGUUUGCAACCUUUGACUUCAAUGUCAAUUGAUAUACUACAAAUUUCAGUCCUAGAUUUAGGAGGAACUUCACAGUAUGAUGUGAUCCGGCAUUUUGCCUUUAGUCUAACUUUGUAUCAUCUCCAUUCUAGAUCUAAGGAAACCAGAGGCUGAAGAUGUGGAGUACAGGUACAAUGUCUCAUGACAAGUGGGUAAGAACUAGAAGAGAAGUCUUUGAAUUCCCUGCUUCAUGCUCUUUUGGGUGUUGGAAGAGCAUGAAACCUGAAGUUGGAAAGAGAUUCAAAAUAAUAGUGACACC
This 1391-nucleotide long non-coding RNA is filed under the name Homo sapiens (human). Its description in RNAcentral is "non-protein coding lnc-PAPPA-5:1". The record is from RNAcentral. Lineage: Eukaryota; Metazoa; Chordata; Mammalia; Primates; Hominidae.